UGGGGAAUAUUGCACAAUGGGCGCAAGCCUGAUGCAGCCAUGCCGCGUGUAUGAAGAAGGCCUUCGGGUUGUAAAGUACUUUCAGUCGGGAGGAAGGUGGUAAGGUUAAUAACCUUAUCAAUUGACGUUACCGACAGAAGAAGCACCGGCUAACUCCGUGCCAGCAGCCGCGGUAAUACGGAGGGUGCAAGCGUUAAUCGGAAUUACUGGGCGUAAAGCGCACGCAGGCGGUUGAUUGAGUCAGAUGUGAAAUCCCCGGGCUUAACCCGGGAAUUGCAUCUGAUACUGGUCAGCUAGAGUCUUGUAGAGGGGGGUAGAAUUCCAUGUGUAGAGGUGAAAUGCGUAGAGAUGUGGAGGAAUACCGGUGGCGAAGGCGGCCCCCUGGACAAAGACUGACGCUCAGGUGCGAAAGCGUGGGGAGCAAACA
Molecule: ribosomal RNA, 427 nt
Filed under: Chloroflexota bacterium
Lineage: Bacteria; Bacillati; Chloroflexota
Description: Chloroflexi bacterium partial 16S ribosomal RNA
Rfam family: Bacterial small subunit ribosomal RNA
Source: RNAcentral